UACAAAACGAAGUUUUAAUUGAUACUUGUCACAUUUCAUUCAAAUUUCUCAUAUCUGUAAAAUUAAUUUUAAAGAAUUGAAUCAAUCUGAAACUAAUUAACUGUUUGCAGGAAAAACAGACUUUUCCAUUUGGAAAACUUGAAGGUCAAGAACUGUCUUUCAUUUGGGAGGAUGGACCAAAAAAUGUGGUUGAACCUACAUGUAUGCAGCCAGCAGUGGUUUUCCCUUAUCCAAUUGUUGAUUGUGGGAUAACGUUUGGAUGGUCAAAUGAAACAGUGGAUGAUGAACAAGAAAAAAUGCCAUUGGAGAAAGCCAGCAGUUCAUGUGAUAAACAUCCAUUCACAUCAAGGGUGAGUGCUCUUUUCAAGUUAUAUCACAGAAUUUUGAGUG
Long non-coding RNA from Pecten maximus, 390 nucleotides. RefSeq lists it as uncharacterized. Lineage: Eukaryota; Metazoa; Mollusca; Bivalvia; Pectinida; Pectinidae. The transcript has 3 exons. The record is from RefSeq and is a predicted model, not a curated record.